This 2922-nucleotide ribosomal RNA is filed under the name Lactiplantibacillus plantarum. RNAcentral's name for it is "bacterial LSU rRNA". It matches the Rfam family "Bacterial large subunit ribosomal RNA". The record is from RNAcentral. Lineage: Bacteria; Bacillati; Bacillota; Bacilli; Lactobacillales; Lactobacillaceae.
AGGUUAAGUUAACAAGGGCGCAUGGUGAAUGCCUUGGCACUAGGAGCCGAUGAAGGACGGGACUAACACCGAUAUGCUUCGGGGAGCUGUACGUAAGCUAUGAUCCGGAGAUUUCCGAAUGGGGCAACCCAGCAGUUUUAAUCAACUGUUACCACUAGAUGAAUUCAUAGUCUAGUUGGAGGUAAACGCUGUGAACUGAAACAUCUCAUUAGCAGCAGGAAUAUAAAGAAAUUUCGAUUCCCUAAGUAGCGGCGAGCGAACGGGGAACAGCCCAAACCAAAGUGCUUGCACUUUGGGGUUGUAGGACUGAACAUUUGAGUUACCAAAGAACUUGAUAGUCGAAGGAUUUGGGAAAAUCCGCCAUAGAUGGUGAUAGCCCAGUAGAUUAAAUCAAAUUCUCUCAGUUCAGGAUCCUGAGUACGGCGGAACACGUGAAAUUCCGUCGGAAUCCGGGAGGACCAUCUCCCAAGGCUAAAUACUACCUAGUGACCGAUAGUGAACCAGUACCGUGAGGGAAAGGUGAAAAGCACCCCGGGAGGGGAGUGAAAUAGUUCCUGAAACCAUGUGCCUACAAUAAGUCAGAGCGCGUUAAUGCGUGAUGGCGUGCCUUUUGUAGAAUGAACCGGCGAGUUAUGUCCCGUGCAAGGUUAAGACUAAAAAGUCGGAGCCGUAGCGAAAGCGAGUCUGAAAUGGGCGUUUUGAGUACGAGGUUAUAGACCCGAAACCAGGUGACCUAUCCAUGUCCAGGUUGAAGGUGCGGUAAAACGCACUGGAGGACCGAACCCGUGUAAGUUGAAAAUUGCUGGGAUGAGGUGUGGAUAGCGGUGAAAUUCCAAACGAACUUGGAGAUAGCUGGUUCUCUCCGAAAUAGCUUUAGGGCUAGCCUCGGAAUUAGGAUCAUGGAGGUAGAGCACUAUUUGGACUAGGGGCCCGUCUUGGGUUACUGAAUUCAGAUAAACUCCGAAUGCCAUUGAUUCAUAUCCGGGAGUCAGACGAUGAGUGAUAAGAUCCACCGUCGAAAGGGGAACAGCCCAGACCAUCAGUUAAGGUCCCUAAAUGUAUGCUAAGUGGAAAAGGAUGUGGAGUUGCAUAGACAACUAGGAUGUUGGCUCAGAAGCAGCCACCAUUUAAAGAGUGCGUAAUAGCUCACUAGUCGAGUGAUCCUGCGCCGAAAAUGUACCGGGGCUAAGCAUACUACCGAAACCAUGGAUGCGACCAUUAGGUCGCGUGAUAGGAGAGCGUUCUAAGGGCGGUGAAGCAAGAUCGUGAGGACUUGUGGAGCGCUUAGAAGUGAGAAUGCCGGUAUGAGUAGCGAAAGAUAGGUGAGAAUCCUAUCCACCGAAUGACUAAGGUUUCCUGGGGAAGGCUCGUCCUCCCAGGGUUAGUCGGGACCUAAGUCGAGGCCGAGAGGCGUAGACGAUGGAUAACAGGUUGAGAUUCCUGUACUAGUUAAGUGCGUUUGAGCAAUGGAGGGACGCAGGAGGCUAAGAUGUGCAUUCUGUUGGAUUAGAAUGUCCAAGCAGUAAGUCUUGUGAAGAGUCAAAUGCUUUUCACUUUAAGGACAAGCUGUGAUGGGGAGCGAAAUUUAGUAGCGAAGCGUCUGAUGUCACACUGCCGAGAAAAGCUUCUAGUGAGUACUUAACUACCCGUACCGCAAACCGACACAGGUAGUCGAGGAGAGAAUCCUAAGGUGAGCGAGUGAACUCUCGUUAAGGAACUCGGCAAAAUGACCCCGUAACUUCGGGAGAAGGGGUGCUGAUCGCAAGAUCAGCCGCAGUGAAUAGGCCCAGGCGACUGUUUAUCAAAAACACAGGUCUCUGCAAAAUCGUAAGAUGACGUAUAGGGGCUGACGCCUGCCCGGUGCUGGAAGGUUAAAAGGAUGGGUUAGCUUCGGCGAAGCUCAGAAUUGAAGCCCCAGUAAACGGCGGCCGUAACUAUAACGGUCCUAAGGUAGCGAAAUUCCUUGUCGGGUAAGUUCCGACCCGCACGAAAGGCGUAACGAUCUGGGCACUGUCUCAACGAGAGACUCGGUGAAAUUAUAUUGUCCGUGAAGAUGCGGACUACCCGCGACAGGACGGAAAGACCCCAUGGAGCUUUACUGUAGCUUGAUAUUGAGUGUUUGUACAGCUUGUACAGGAUAGGUAGGAGCCAUAGAAACCGGAACGCUAGUUUCGGUGGAGGCGUUGGUGGGAUACUACCCUCGCUGUAUGACCACUCUAACCCGCACCACUAAUCGUGGUGGGAGACAGUGUCAGGUGGGCAGUUUGACUGGGGCGGUCGCCUCCUAAAAAGUAACGGAGGCGCCCAAAGGUUCCCUCAGAAUGGUUGGAAAUCAUUCGCAGAGUGUAAAGGCACAAGGGAGCUUGACUGCGAGACAGACAGGUCGAGCAGGGACGAAAGUCGGGCUUAGUGAUCCGGUGGUACCGUAUGGAAGGGCCAUCGCUCAACGGAUAAAAGCUACCCUGGGGAUAACAGGCUUAUCUCCCCCAAGAGUCCACAUCGACGGGGAGGUUUGGCACCUCGAUGUCGGCUCAUCGCAUCCUGGGGCUGUAGUCGGUCCCAAGGGUUGGGCUGUUCGCCCAUUAAAGCGGUACGCGAGCUGGGUUCAGAACGUCGUGAGACAGUUCGGUCCCUAUCCGUCGCGGGCGUAGGAAAUUUGAGAGGACCUGUCCUUAGUACGAGAGGACCGGGAUGGACAUACCUCUGGUGUACCAGUUGUGCCGCCAGGCGCAUCGCUGGGUAGCUACGUAUGGAUGUGAUAAACGCUGAAAGCAUCUAAGUGUGAAACACACCUCGAGAUGAGAUUUCCCAUUCCUUUAUGGAAGUAAGACCCCUGAAAGAUGAUCAGGUAGAUAGGUUAGAAGUGGCAGUGCGGUGACGCAUGAAGCGGACUAAUACUAAUCGGUCGAGGACUUAACCAAG